RNAcentral lists this ribosomal RNA (461 nucleotides) under uncultured bacterium. RNAcentral describes it as "bacterial SSU rRNA". It matches the Rfam family "Bacterial small subunit ribosomal RNA", at positions 28 to 491 of the family's 1533-position model. The record is from RNAcentral.
GAUGAACGCUGGCGGCGUGCUUAACACAUGCAAGUCGAGCGAAGCGGCUGAAUUGAUUCUUCGGAUGAUUUUCAGUUGACUGAGCGGCGGACGGGUGAGUAACGCGUGGGUGACCUGCCCCAUACCGGGGGAUAACAGCUGGAAACGGCUGCUAAUACCGCAUAAGCGCACAGAGCUGCAUGGCUCGGUGUGAAAAACUCCGGUGGUAUGGGAUGGGCCCGCGUCUGAUUAGGCAGUUGGCGGGGUAACGGCCCACCAAACCGACGAUCAGUAGCCGGCCUGAGAGGGCGACCGGCCACAUUGGGACUGAGACACGGCCCAAACUCCUACGGGAGGCAGCAGUGGGGAAUAUUGCACAAUGGGGGAAACCCUGAUGCAGCGACGCCGCGUGAGCGAAGAAGUAUUUCGGUAUGUAAAGCUCUAUCAGCAGGGAAGAUAAUGACGGUACCUGACUAAGAAGC